Molecule: non-coding RNA, 2063 nt
Organism: Thamnophis sirtalis
Lineage: Eukaryota; Metazoa; Chordata; Lepidosauria; Squamata; Natricidae
Source: RefSeq, a predicted model, not a curated record
AUAUAAGAUCCAGCUUGAGCUCUCAGCAACAUAACAAACAGCUGUUGCAAGGUCUCUCCACAACUGUCCUUUCCCAAUAUUGCUUGGCUGGCUGGCUGGCUGGCUGGAGCAGGAACAGAGCGACCGAUCUGGUGCGGGAUCCUGUUUCCAAGACUCUUUUGCAGGUCCCAGAGGAAAUCCAGUUCCCAAUUCAGCUCUCAGGACACUCUGUCACCUCCUCCCACCAUGGAGUUUGCUGAGCUGAUCAAGACCACCAAGGUGGAUGAUGUGGUUCUCUCAUGUCCAGGACUCCAGACCAUCCGAGGGACACUGGCUAUCACCAGCCAUCACUUACUCUUUUCAUCCCAGGCAGAAGGGAAUAGGGAACAGAGAAGAACUGAGCUGUGGCUCCUUAUUCGCAAUGUGGACGCCAUUGAAAAAAGCAUUCAGAAUUUAAGCUGGUAUCAAAACUCCUGGACUAACGACUCCCCACCAGAGAACAGGUUUGCCUUAACCCUUUUCACACCACAAGGCAUGCAAGCAAGUGAGGUGACAGCUGGUGCAUCAUCUACUUUCGGCUUCUGCAGCUGAUUUGCACAACCGGGGAGGGGGAAGCCCAUCUUUCCAGGUCUUGCUUCAGGAAUGAAAAUGAAUGAAUCCCAGACAGGUGAAGAAUGACCUUUCAGCCAUCCUGGUAUCCUUUUUCUACCUGAUGGAUAGCGAGGCCAGGACAAUUUGGUGGAGUGGGUAGAGAGAACUGGCAACAGGCACCAUAAUCAGAGAUCCAAAGUCUUGCCAGGCAUAGCCCAGAUUUGGCUAUUAUCUGAACUGAGAGCAUAUUUUUAAGCAUGCACAGAGUGCUUAUCUUCUUGGCCUUGCACCUCUUUUCCAAACCACAAAAUUUUGAUCACAUAACCAUGGGCAUGCAGCAACAAUUGUAAUUUGUCAGUGCCAUUGUAACUUUGAACAGUCGCUAAAGGAAUUGUAAAUUGAGGGCUAUCUGUAGAUUUUAAAUAAUAGAUAGAUUUAGAAGGGUUUGAGGUAUGGUCAAGAAUGUUAGGCUCCCUGUAGCCUCCCACGUCCCUCUGACCUAAAAGCUUGGAAAAUAUGGGAAAUAGAAACCUCUUCAGCCUUCCAGGGAUGUCACCAAAGGGGGAAGCUGCCCCUUUGAAAAUCAGAAGGUCACCAAACAUUGUCCAUAGAUGGAUGCCAAAAAUUCUGGACCGUUCUCGAAGCCAUUCUCGUCUGGCAUUAAGGCCUGUAUAGUAGUUUUCGAGAACCACACAGGGUGGUUAUUCCAGAUUUAUUUUAUCUGGAUGGAAAAAGGAUGCACAGCAAUAGAGGUAGUUCUUGACUUACAACCAUCAUUUAAAGACCAUUUGAAGUUAUAAUGACACUGAAAAAAGUGACUGAUGGCAGUCAUCGCUCUUACAACCAUGGCAACAUCUCCAUGGUCAUAUGAUCCAAAUUUAGGUGUUUGACAACUGGCGUGCAUUUACAAGAGUUGCAGGGUUCACCAUUUGCAACCUUCCCAGCUGGCUUCCGACAAGCAGUGGUGAGAAGCCAGAUUCCCUUAACAACUGCAGCGGUUCCCUUAACAAUUGCAGUGAUUUGCUUAUCGACCAUGGCAAAAAGAAGUUGUACAAUUGGACAUGGCUCACUGAACAACCACCUUGCUUAGUAACAGAACGUCUAGUGCCAAUCGUGGUUGUAGGUCUAGGACUUUCUGUAGGGUGGUGAUAAAAGGGCAAGUGAGCCGACAAUGAUGUGAGUAAUGUAAGUAGCAUCAGUUGCAUCUGUGUAUGAUGCACUUAGUGAUAUUGUGGGAAGCAAAUCACAGCUUUGCAGUCCUCUGCUUCUCUCUUUCUGGGUUAAUAAGUUGCUUACUUCCUGUUCAUCCGCAAGCCCGACUUUCCGAUUGUGACUGGGGCUGUGAAGUGAAGGUCUCCAUCGUUGAUGCCCCUCCUCCCUUGCCACAAACAUGAGGUUCUUUCUGCUUGCAAACAACCGGAAGUUGCCUGUGGCCUCUAGCGAGGCAGCUCACAAGGUCUCUUUUCUCCUCUUCGCACAGGCUGGCCAACCCG